Molecule: transfer RNA, 72 nt
Filed under: Stegodyphus mimosarum
Lineage: Eukaryota; Metazoa; Arthropoda; Arachnida; Araneae; Eresidae
Rfam family: tRNA
About the family: Transfer RNA (tRNA) molecules are approximately 80 nucleotides in length.
Source: Rfam by way of RNAcentral
GCAUCGUCGUGUAAUGGUCAGCACGCUCGGCCCAUAUUCGAGAGGUCCGUGGUUCGAGUCCCGGCGGGAGCA